RNAcentral lists this ribosomal RNA (404 nucleotides) under Gemmatimonadota bacterium. RNAcentral describes it as "Gemmatimonadetes bacterium partial 16S ribosomal RNA". It matches the Rfam family "Bacterial small subunit ribosomal RNA", at positions 355 to 776 of the family's 1533-position model. The record is from RNAcentral. Lineage: Bacteria; Pseudomonadati; Gemmatimonadota.
UGGGGAAUAUUGGACAAUGGGCGAAAGCCUGAUCCAGCAAUGCCGCGUGAGUGAUGAAGGCCUUAGGGUUGUAAAGCUCUUUUACCCGGGAUGAUAAUGACAGUACCGGGAGAAUAAGCUCCGGCUAACUCCGUGCCAGCAGCCGCGGUAAUACGGAGGGAGCUAGCGUUGUUCGGAUAUACUGGGCGUAAAGCGCACGUAGGCGGCGCAGCAAGUCAGGGGUGAAAUCCCGGAGCUCAACUCCGGAACUGCCCUUGAAACUGCAGUGCUAGAAUCCUGGAGAGGCGAGUGGAAUUCCGAGUGUAGAGGUGAAAUUCGUAGAUAUUCGGAAGAACACCAGUGGCGAAGGCGACUCGCUGGACAGGUAUUGACGCUGAGGUGCGAAAGCGUGGGGAGCAAACAGG